RNAcentral lists this transfer RNA (68 nucleotides) under Salmo salar (Atlantic salmon). It matches the Rfam family "tRNA". From Rfam's summary of the family: Transfer RNA (tRNA) molecules are approximately 80 nucleotides in length. Their secondary structure includes four short double-helical elements and three loops (D, anti-codon, and T loops). The record is from Rfam by way of RNAcentral. Lineage: Eukaryota; Metazoa; Chordata; Actinopteri; Salmoniformes; Salmonidae.
CCCUGUAGCUCAGUUGGUAGAGCAUGGUAUUUGCAACGCCAGGGUUGUGGGUUCAGUUCCCACAGGGG